AACCUUUACAAUGCACGCAAGUGUGAUAAGGGAAUCCAGAGUGCUUAUCUUAUGGGUAAGCUUUUGCCAAGUGUAAAUAGCUUGGAGAAUAAGUGGUGGGCAAUACCGGUGCCAGCAGCCGCGGUAACACCGGAGCCACAAGUGGGAAUCGUGAUUAUUGGGCCUAAAGCGUCCGUAGCCGAUUUGAUAAGUCUCUUGUGAAAUUGUUGAGCUUAACUUAACAACGUGCAAGAGAUACUAUCAAGUUAGAGACCGGGAAGAGGCAAAGGUAUUCCUUGGGAAGCGGUAAAAUGUGAUAAUCCUUGGAGGACCACCGAUGGCGAAGGCAUUUGCCUAGAACGGGUCUGACGGUGAGGGACGAAGGCUGGGAGAACGAACAGG
This 381-nucleotide ribosomal RNA is filed under the name uncultured archaeon. Its description in RNAcentral is "bacterial SSU rRNA". It matches the Rfam family "Archaeal small subunit ribosomal RNA", at positions 345 to 727 of the family's 1478-position model. The record is from RNAcentral.